UGGAAUCAAAUUCGAGUGAUGCAACCGGCAGACGAUGGAGCAAUGCAAAAUAUUGGUCGCAGCCCUUCCAGGUAAAGUACUGGAGCUGAAUAUGCCCGCUGAUAUAGGAUUCCUAAGAUACGCGUCAACGUGUGGUUGAGUGUGUGUGGUUUGAAAUCGGGUUUUGUGAGAGGGCUCACAUUGGCGAAAACACACACGAAUUAAAAUUCCCAUCCCUUAAAAGUGCAUUUAGGAGCUGUGGCAAGAGGCCUUGCUACUUCGCUACCGGGAUGAGUCCUCGUCCCGUGCGCCUCCUCCUCCCCGCACCACC
This 310-nucleotide long non-coding RNA is filed under the name Hordeum vulgare. Its description in RNAcentral is "long non-coding RNA (HVUL_LNC014397)". Lineage: Eukaryota; Viridiplantae; Streptophyta; Magnoliopsida; Poales; Poaceae. The record is from RNAcentral.